UGGGGAAUAUUGCACAAUGGGCGCAAGCCUGAUGCAGCAACGCCGCGUGAGGGAUGACGGCCUUCGGGUUGUAAACCUCUUUUAGCGAGGGAAGAGCAGAAAGUGACGGUACCUGCAGAAAAAGCACCGGCUAACUACGUGCCAGCAGCCGCGGUAAUACGUAGGGUGCAAGCGUUGUCCGGAAUUAUUGGGCGUAAAGAGCUCGUAGGCGGUCUGUCGCGUCUGCUGUGAAAUCCCGAGGCUCAACCUCGGGCCUGCAGUGGGUACGGGCAGACUAGAGUGCGGUAGGGGAGAAUGGAACUCCUGGUGUAGCGGUGGAAUGCGCAGAUAUCAGGAAGAACACCGAUGGCGAAGGCAGUUCUCUGGGCCGUAACUGACGCUGAGGAGCGAAAGCGUGGGGAGCGAACAGGAUUAGAUACCCUGGUAGUCCACGCCGUAAACGUUGGGCGCUAGAUGUGGGGACCAUUCCACGGUUUCCGUGUCGCAGCUAACGCAUUAAGCGCCCCGCCUGGGGAGUACGGCCGCAAGGCUAAAA
Molecule: ribosomal RNA, 535 nt
Filed under: uncultured bacterium
Lineage: Bacteria
Description: partial 16S ribosomal RNA
Rfam family: Bacterial small subunit ribosomal RNA
Source: RNAcentral